This is a non-coding RNA of Callorhinus ursinus (northern fur seal), 1670 nucleotides long. Lineage: Eukaryota; Metazoa; Chordata; Mammalia; Carnivora; Otariidae. The record is from RefSeq and is a predicted model, not a curated record.
AAUUUAAAAUGUCUCACCCAUCCCCCCAAACUAAGCUCUCCAACCCCAGUAACCCCAGAGUCUUAUUUGAUGUGGACAUCGGAGGGGAUUGAGUUUGUCGAAUUGUCUUAGAAUUGUUUGCAGAUAGUGUACCCAAAACUGCAGAAAAUUUUCAUGCAGAGUGUUUACAGGAGAAAAAGGCAUUGGACCCACAACUGGGAAACCUCUCCAUUUCAAAAGAUGCCCUUUCCAUCAAAUUAUUAAGGAAUUUGUGAUUCUGGGUGGAGACUUCUCAAAUCAAAAUGGGACAGGUGGAGAAAGUAUUUAUGGUGAAAAAUUUGACAGUGAAAAUUGCUAUUAUAAGCAUGAUCAGGAAGGUUUAUUGAGCAUGGCAAAUGCAGGCUGCAAUACAAAUGGUUCUCAAUUCUUUAUCACAACAGUCCCGACUCCUCACUUGGAUGGGAAACAUGUGGUAUUUGGCCAAGUAAUUAAAGGAAUGGGUAUGGCAAGGAUACUGGAAAAUGUACAAGUGAAAGGUGAAAAACCUGCCAAAUUGUGUGUUAUUGCAGAAUGCAGAGAAUUGAAGGAAGGGGAUAAUUGGGGCAUAUUCCCAAAAGAUGGCUCUGGUGACAGUCAUCCAGACUUCCCUGAGGAUGCAGAUAUAGAUUUAAAAGAUGUAAAUAAAAUUUUACUAAUAACAGAAGUUGUAAAAAAUAUUGGAAAUAUUUUUUUCAAAUCUCAGAACUGGGAGAUGGCCAUUAAAAAAUAUACAAAAGUUUUAAGAUAUGUGGAAGGUUCAAAGGCCAUUAUUGAGCAAGCAGAUAGAUCGAAGCUGCAACCUACAGUUUUAAGCUGCGUGCUGAAUAUUGGUGCUUGUAAACUGAAGAUGUCAAAUUGGCAGGGAGCAAUCGACAGUUGUUUGGAGGCUCUUGGAAUAGACCCAUCCAAUACCAAAGCAUUGUACCGUAGAGCUCAAGGACGGCAAGGAUUAAAAGAAUACGAUCAAGCAUUGGCUGAUCUUAAGAAAGCUCAGGAGAUAGCACCUGAAGAUAAAGCUAUCCAGGCAGAAUUGCUGAAAGUCGCACAAAAGAUAAAAGCACAAAAAGAUAAAGAGAAGGCAGCGUAUGCAAAAAUAUUUGCCUAGUAAGAAGUUCGCUUUUACUUAAAUAUGCAUUGAUUGUUAUAUAAAGGGAAUAAGAAAAUUUAAAGAUUUUUGUCCGUUAUAUAUAAUCCCUGAUGUGUUUCCUUUGAUACUUCAGUUUCCCAUUGUUUACAGUUUAGGAAUACUGAAAAGAGUUCACUCUUAAUAAAACAGUGUUACAAAAAAAAAAAAGGCAGAAAGGCUGACUAGAACUUGUAACACAUAAUAAACUUCUGUUUCCAUAAAUGUGGAAUUUUAGCAGUAGAUCUGAGACACUAUUGAAUAUAAUGCUUUGGUUUACAGAUAAUGAACCUGAGGCUGUUCUGUUUCAUUGUCGGGCAAUUCUAAUUAUUAGAAUUGUUAAAGCAUCAUGUAAUUCUCCUUAUUCUCCUUCCUUAAAACGUAUUGGUUUUAGUUUCUUCCACUGAAGAACACAGGACAAUUCUAUAUGUCUCCUCUGUGGCAGGUUCUCAAAGAUAUGAAAACAACCCUUAAGUGUUUCCAUAGUUUUUUUUCCCUAAGCUAAAAUAUUAAAUUACCACAAAAGUUA